CAGCCCUCCUGUCCCCAGAGUAACCUCGUGGUGCCCCGCAAGGUGAACUCUGGCUUGUAGGGGAGGCCCUGGGGCCACAGCAGCCUUACUGCCCCUGGACACAUCAGUUCACCCGGCAAGUUCACGGCCGAGGUGGGACUAGAAAUGGGCCCCCUCUUGGCUCUUGAAAAUGGUACUUCUGCCAAAUGUUUCCCAUGCAGGUAGUCUACCCUGGUGCUCACUGAGCACCGAAUACAGAGGUGGGGGCAGGCCUGGGCCCUGCCCUUGUCCAAGGUGUGGACGGAAUGGGAGAGGCCCUUCAGAGUUGGAUACGGGAAAAGAGGCUGGGAGAAGGUUACUUCCAUUGUUCAUGUAAACCAGGUCAAGGUAACCGAUUGUUGCGAGGCUGUUUUAUAUCCGUGUAUUUCAUCAGUCCUCGUGGAUGGACGCUAGGCCUCCUUUGUUCUGAAUGAUAGAGGAACAUGCUGGAAGAGAGAAAGUUCCCUGAAAAGUGGCUAACAUAACUAUACCGAGAUAGCCAUUAAAAUCGACACGGAAUGCCUGAAUAGAUGCUGCACCGUUUCCAGAAAGUUGCCCUUUCUGAUUCUGACGACCAAAGCCUGCCCAUCAAACAGCGGCACCGACAGGGAAAACGCACGGCUGUCUAGAACGAUCGUUGUAGUUUAC
This 666-nucleotide long non-coding RNA is filed under the name Felis catus (domestic cat). RNAcentral describes it as "lncRNA (ENSFCAG00000053236.1)". Lineage: Eukaryota; Metazoa; Chordata; Mammalia; Carnivora; Felidae. The record is from RNAcentral.